Molecule: ribosomal RNA, 484 nt
Filed under: uncultured bacterium
Lineage: Bacteria
Description: partial 16S ribosomal RNA
Rfam family: Bacterial small subunit ribosomal RNA
Source: RNAcentral
AUUGAACGCUGGCGGAAUGCUUUACACAUGCAAGUCGAGCGGCAGCGCGGCCUUCGGGCUGGCUGCGAGCGGCGCACGGGUGAGUAAUGCAUCGGAACAUGCCCAGUCGUGGGGGAUAACACUUCGAAAGAAGUGCUAAUACCGCAUACUUCCUGAGGGGGCAAGCGGGGGAUCGCAAGACCUCGCGCGAUUGGAGUGGCCGAUGUCAGAUUAGCUAGUUUGUGGGGUAAAGGCCUACCAAGCGAACGAUCUGUGGCUGGUCUGAGAGGAUGAUCAGCCACACUGGGACUGAGACACGGCCCAGACUCCUACGGGAGGCAGCAGUGGGGAAUUUUGGACAAAGGGGGCAACCCUGAUCCAGCCAUUCCGCGUGAGUGAAGAAGGCCUUCGGUUUGGAAAGCUCUUUCGGCAGGAACGAAACGGUGGGCUCUAACAUAGUCCGCUAAUGACGGUACCUGAAGAAGAAGCACCGGCUAACUACGUG